CUCUAACGGUUCCAUCUGGAGACAAUAUGGCCAGAUAUUCACCGUCCGCAGUAAAUGAAGUAACUAGCGAUUUCAGCUUCUCCUUUCCCAUAACAGAUCAGAGAUAACAAACUCUGAGUAUAAUAGGAAAGAAGCGGCAACUCCGAAACAGAGGCAGAGGACCGAGAGAGAAAACCACAACUAAUAAUUUGAUUUUGUCGUAGAAGAGCGUCGGCUGGUUGAAGAUUUUAAAUCAAAUUCAAUUGGUUAGAGACUCGUGCUGAUAACGUGUUAUGAAAUAAUAUAAAGACAAGAACAAUAACUCAAGUAACAAACUCUGAGUAUAAUAGGAAAGAAGCGGCAACUCCGAAACAGAGGCAGAGGACCGAGAGAGAAAACCACAACUAAUAAUUUGAUUUUUGUCGGAGAAGAGCGUCGGCAGGAAGGAGCAAUCCAGUGGAGAGGGUUUUGGCAAAGGUUUAACACAGAAAAUCAUUUAUAUUUGGGCUUCACUACAAGGGAUUUGGGCUU
RNAcentral lists this long non-coding RNA (510 nucleotides) under Nicotiana benthamiana. RNAcentral describes it as "long non-coding RNA (NBEN_LNC037598)". The record is from RNAcentral. Lineage: Eukaryota; Viridiplantae; Streptophyta; Magnoliopsida; Solanales; Solanaceae.